ACAGAGGGGAGCACUAGCAGAGAAAAACAACCUGACGGUGACGAACUUUGACUGAAAAGAAUUCCAGUCUUCUAGUUCACCCCCAGUUACCGGGUCGCCAAGAACAGGAAGAAUGGCACAAGCCUGAGAAGCAAAUGGAAGCCUUGGAAAGCAGAAUGUUUUCUGAAGAAAACGGCUUCUCUACAGUUUCUGCUUUCAGCUUAGCUCUAAGGCACUAGCAGAUCUUUUGGAAUCUUCUUGCAGCAGUUGCCAAAAACACUGGCAUUGACGGGUUCAUACUCCUUUCGAAGAAGGACGCUGCAGAGCUGUCAAAGUAGAAUCUGGUAAAAGCAACUUGAUGGGUUCAAUGGGAUUAUGCAGUCAAAUGUGCACUGCCCAUAUGGACAGGAUGGAAUAUUAGCAUACAAUCUUGCUACUUUCUCUUUGCUUGCUAUUUGGAUUGUCUCGUAACUACUGGAGUCCUUGCAGAUGUUUGUAGGAAGAAUUUACCUGGAAUACAAUGUCAUGCUGACAAUAAGGGCCAGAGAACGAAAUUGGGCCCACAAGGAAUACAGAAUCUGAUGGGACAACAAUCGUUGAUGCCUCAACUUUACAAGCGGCUGCCCAUGCUGCUUGGAACGCCUGUAACAUAAAAUAUUAUUCCACAAGAAACUCAUCAGUGUUUGUUGUUUUCAAUUUGUUAAUAGCCUCCACGAUUCAGGUUAGAAUUAACUGUAAAAAUUCUUCCUUCUCUAUAGCUCCUCGUCUGUCUUUCUUUUUCUAAUUUUUAUACAAAAGAAUUUAGGCGAGAUUAUAUGGGCAUACAUGAAUUUUUUAAGUUAAUUAGUUGUUGGUUUAGUGGAGAAGC
Long non-coding RNA from Coffea arabica (coffee), 847 nucleotides. RefSeq lists it as uncharacterized. The record is from RefSeq and is a predicted model, not a curated record. Lineage: Eukaryota; Viridiplantae; Streptophyta; Magnoliopsida; Gentianales; Rubiaceae.